RNAcentral lists this ribosomal RNA (253 nucleotides) under uncultured bacterium. Its description in RNAcentral is "partial 16S ribosomal RNA". It matches the Rfam family "Bacterial small subunit ribosomal RNA", at positions 524 to 776 of the family's 1533-position model. The record is from RNAcentral.
UACGGGGGGGGCAAGCGUUGUUCGGAAUUACUGGGCGUAAAGGGCUCGUAGGCGGCCAACUAAGUCGGAUGUGAAAUCCCCGGGCUCAACCCGGGAACUGCGUCCGAUACUGGAAGGCUUGAAUCCGGGAGAGGGAUGCGGAAUUCCAGGUGUAGCGGUGAAAUGCGUAGAUAUCUGGAGGAACACCGGUGGCGAAGGCGGCAUCCUGGACCGGCAUUGACGCUGAGGCGCGAAAGCCAGGGGAGCAAACGGG